UACGUAGGGGGCAAGCGUUGUCCGGAUUUACUGGGCGUAAAGCGCGCGUAGGUGGAACGAUCAGUCCGGUCUGAAAGCCCCCGGCUCAACCGGGGAGGGUGGCUGGAAACUGUCGUUCUUGAGGGCGAGAGAGGAGGGUGGAAUUCCUGGUGUAGCGGUGAAAUGCGUAGAGAUCAGGAGGAACACCCGUGGCGAAGGCGGCCCUCUGGCUCGACCCUGACGCUGAGGCGCGAAAGCGUGGGGAGCGAACGGG
This 253-nucleotide ribosomal RNA is filed under the name uncultured bacterium. RNAcentral's name for it is "partial 16S ribosomal RNA". It matches the Rfam family "Bacterial small subunit ribosomal RNA", at positions 524 to 776 of the family's 1533-position model. The record is from RNAcentral.